Manis javanica (Malayan pangolin) is the source of this 3889-nucleotide long non-coding RNA. RefSeq lists it as uncharacterized. Lineage: Eukaryota; Metazoa; Chordata; Mammalia; Pholidota; Manidae. The record is from RefSeq and is a predicted model, not a curated record.
CUCAGCUCCAGUGCUACAUGGAAUAUUUCUGAUCUAAUUCUAAUAGCCCCUACAUUUCAAGAGAUGGAUAUAAACACCAGAUGGAUAUUAGAAGAAAAUUGGAUUACUCUGCCAUGAGAGAGAUAUGGAAAGGCCUUUUUCCAACCAUGCACUAGACAGAAUUGUAACACACAGGCUCCUGUCUCUGUCACACACAGUUAAAAUAAGGAGAGAUGACAUCUGCGAAGAUGCAUAGCCAGCUCUGCACAGCGGCACAUCACAGAAGUCAAGUUGUGUGCACACCUGUGUGCACAGACCAGUUAUGGAGUUGAGUUGCAAGCAAACUGGAGCAACGCAGCUGCAAGGUCUGAGGCAAGGCGCUGGGAGGACCCCUUGCUGCAGGAUGGGGGAAUAGAAAAUGCAGAGCAGGAACAGACAGGCUAAGCACUCAAGCAUCUAGCUCGGUAAAGGCGCACAGGGGCUGCUCAGCAAAGGGGAGAAGAGACUUGGUGAUGAGAACAUUUGAGUGUAGAAACCCUGAGUUGACGGUUUCCACUCACCUGCAUUUCCAGCGACACUGAUGAACAGGGUUGGGUAAGGAAGCUGGGAAACACCUGAACGUGUGCAGCAAACCUCUGUCCACUGCCACACUGGAGACAGGCGGCCGUUACAGGUACAUCGAUGAGGCUUAAGGGAAAGCAACUACCACUCAGCUAGACUUAGAUUAUGUGCAUGGUCUGCAUAUGAAGUACUCAGAAAGCAUGGCACCAAAAGGCUUUGUUUUCCUUGAAAUGUAAACAUAGGCAUGGCUCCCAUCAAUUGUGAGGAGGAGGAUGGAUAGAGGUGACAGUUGAAAGGGGAAGAAGACGGGGGAGCGGAGGCAAAGGCCCUGAAUCACUGCAGAUUUAUCAAGGUGUCGCUUUUAUUUUCUGCUUUGUUUGUGAAUACAAUUUAUAUAAUGAACUUUAGUUUUGCUGGGAACUGAAGCCAAUCGAUUCGCAACAUCAUGCUUUCUUCCCCUGGCCUUCCUAGGUUGGGGAGUCCUCACAGAUCAGGAGUUAUUCAGGGUGCCCUCUUACUCAGUGUUGUAUCUGCGGUUUAGGAAUGGUUCCACACAUCGACAGACCUUUAAAUGCAGCACCCGGUGAUCUCAUAAUUGACUUGUCUCCACUGUUUUAACACUCAAAAUGCCAGCCAAAUUGAAGUGCAAUGAAUGGGAAAAGUCAUUUGGAAAGGAGCACUGAUGAAAAAGUUUUACUCUCUCUUUGAAAACUGGAUUAAUAUUCAUCGUGGGGAAUUCAUCGUGGGAGCUGGUGGCACUACUGGUGUCAGCCUGGUGGCCCGUUCACACACAGGAAUAAAGCAAGAAACACUUAGCUAGUUGGAACAACUCCAAACCAACUCCCAACCCUUCAAGGACGCAGUUAGCCUUCUACUGUGGUAUAAUGUCAUAUCCAGGCUAUUGACAUGGAUACAAUCCACUGAUUUUGGAUUUCCAAGGUUUUACCUGUACUCAUUUGGUCAUAUGUGUGUAUUUAGCUCUAUACAGUUUUCUCACCUGUGUAAGUGUGAGUGUCUGUUACCACAGGCAAAGUACUGAGCACUUACAGCACAAGGGUCCCUCGUGUUUUCCCUUUGUAAUGAAACCAGGCUCCCCUCUGCAAAGCUUGGCAACUACAAAUUGGCCCUUCAUUUAACAAAUUUUGCCAUUUCAACAAUGUUAUAUAAAUAGAAUCAUGCAGUAUGUGACCUUUUGGGAUUGGCAUUUUUUCACCCAAUAAAAUUCCCCAGAGAUUUAGCCAAAUUGUUGAAUGUGUCCAUACUUACUCCUUUUUAUUCCUGAGUAGUACUCCAUGGUAUAUGUCUACACUCCUGUAUUUAAUCAUUCACCUGUUGAAGUACAUUUGGGCUGAUUCCGAUGAUUGGUGACCAUAAAUAAAGCUUCCUUGAGAGUUCACGUGAAAGUUCUUGGGCAAAUGUAACUUUUCAUUUGCCAGGGUAAACGUGCAAGCCUUCAUUUGCUGGUUCAUAUGGUAUUUGCAUGCUUAGUUUUUGGAGGAACUGCCAAACAAUUUGCCAGUGUGGCUGUACCAUUUUAUAUUACCACCAGCAAUAUGUGAGUGAUCUAGUUUCUUAUUUUCACCAGCAUUUAUUGUUUUCAGUAUGUUUUUAUUUAAACCUUCCAGACAAAUAUGUACUGCAUUGUGAUUUUAAUUUCCAUGUCCCUGGUGGUUAAUGAUGUUGAACACCUUGUGUUGUGCUUAUUCAUCAUCUCUGUCCUUUUUGAUGAUGUCUUGUCAUGCCAUUUGCCCAUGUAUUAAUUGUAUUAUUUACUGUUGAGUUUGGGGAGUUAUUUAUAUCUCUCUGACACCAGUUCUUUGUCAUAUAUGUGGUUCACAGAUAUUUUUUUCCCAGUGUGUAGUUUGACUUUUUAUUCCCUUCAGACGGUGUUUCACAGAGCAAGUUUUUAAUUUUGAUGAGGCUCUAUUUAUUAAUUUUUUCCUUUUAUGGAUUGUGACUUGGAUGUCUAAUCUAAGAAAUCUUUGCCAAAGAUCUCAAAGAUGUUAUCCUAUGUUUUUUCUAAAAGUGUUUAAGUUGUAUGUUUCAAAUUUAAACCUGUGAGUUAAAUUAUAAGUUAAAUUUUGUCUGAAGCAAGAGAUUUAGCUCAAAAUUGUUUCAUCUUUUUACUUUUUACUUCUUCUUUCUUUUUCUUGUUGCCUGUGCAUGCCCAGUUGCGCUGGCACCAUUUGUUGAAACGCUAUCUUUCCUCUAUUGCAGUGAUUUGCAUCCUGGUCAAAAAUCGGUGGGUUUUAUUUGCGGGGAUCUUUUUCUGAGUUCUUUACUCUGUUCCAUUGAUCUGUUGUCUAUCAUGGUGCCAUUACAUUGUUUUGACUACAAAAGCUAGAUCAUUGGCCUUACUAUCUGUAGUGUAAUUCCUCCUUUGUUUUAAUUACUCCAGAGUUUGUAUCCUAGAGAAUUCUUGGGCCCAUGGGGACCAAGACCUUUCCUUGACCAUGUACCAGUUGUUGCUGGCUCCCUCCUGCCAGCUCCGCUGACCUGCUUCAGUAGCUCAGUGACAAAGGUAAGCUGCAGGCCCAGCAGGGCAGGAUGGAGCUUCCUCUCGCAGUUUAUUUGUGGUGAGGCUCCCACUGAUCAUCCUUGCCAGUGAUGUCAGCUCACCCAGUGUUGUCAGAAGGACUCCCAUUCUAGCUGGGAGAAAUAUGAACCUACAUUGGCUGCCUUCUUUUGCUAGCUUGGUGAUCAAAAAACAAUGAGUCUGGGUGGACUUCUCUGCCAUGUGGGGGGAGAUAGAUGCCUGGUGCCAUGCUGUCCCUCCAGCCCUGGGUUCAGCUCACCAUCUUACCACUUUCCAGAGCUUUCUGGUAGCUUGUGACAUCAUUUGCAGAGUUUAUAGUUGUGCUUCAUGGGAAGGAGCAAGCUCAAGACUAGAAGCCAAGGUCUAUCAAAGAGAUAUUUUUAAAGCCAAAUAAGUAAUUGUCUUUUAUUUUUAAAAAGACACUGACUUAUCAAGAAUAGCACUUGAACUUUCAGGCAGAAUUGAACAGAAAUUUCAGAACCUGGAAAAUAUGUGCCAUAUCCCCAGUGAACUAAUCUUCUUGUGCUUUAUUAAAAUGCUCAAACUUUUUCUCUUUCUUGUCUUUUUCCCUUUGAUAAAAAUAGAGUCUGGGCUAAAUUCCAAUUUGAAUAAAUAUACUGAUCUUCCAAAUUCCCUUGGCAGUGUAAAGCACAUGCAGCUUGCUUCAUGUUCUCUCUUUAACUAGUGGAACAGGAUGGCUGUACACUGAGAUAGGUGCCCAGUUCUACUGGGAGCUGUCUGGAGAGGAAACGCCUUUCAUUAAUUAUCCUAUAGAUUUGCUGUAACACCAAAGCUUGCAAAGUUACAUAUUUG